GCGUGCCUAAUACAUGCAAGUCGAACGCGUUGGCCCAACUGAUUGAACGUGCUUGCACGGACUUGACGUUGGUUUACCAGCGAGUGGCGGACGGGUGAGUAACACGUAGGUAACCUGCCCCAAAGCGGGGGAUAACAUUUGGAAACAGAUGCUAAUACCGCAUAACAAUUUGAAUCGCAUGAUUCAAAUUUAAAAGAUGGCUUCGGCUAUCACUUCUGGGAUGGACCUGCGGCGCAUAUAUCAUUGUUGGUAGAGGAACGGCCUACCAAGGCUGUAAUGCGUAGCCGAGUUGAGCAGCACUGAUCGGCCACAAUGGAACAGAAACACGGUCCAUACUCCUACGGGAGGCAGCAGUAGGGAAUCUUCCACAAUGGGCGCAAGCCUGAUGGAGCAACACCGCGUGAGUGAAGAAGGGUUUCGGCUCGUAAAGCUCUGUUGUUAAGAAGAACGUGCGUGAGAGCAACUGUUCACGCAGUGACGGUAUCUAACCAGAAAGUCACGGCUAACUACGUGCCAGCAGCCGCGGUAAUACGUAGGUGGCAAGCGUUAUCCGGAUUUAUUGGGCGUAAAGCGAGCGCAAGCGGUUUGAUAAGUCUGAUGUGAAAGCCUUUGGCUUAACCAAAGAAGUGCAUCAGAAACUGUCAGACUUGAGUGCAGAAGAGGACAGUGGAACUCCUUGUGUCGCGGUGGAAUGCGUUCAUAUAUGGAAGAACACCAGUGGCGAAGGCUGCUCUCUGGUCUGUAACUGACGCUUAGGCUUGAAAGCAUGGGUAGCGAACAGGAUUAGACACCAUGGUAGUCCACGCCGUAAACGAUGAGUGUUAAGUGUUGGCACGUUUCCGCCUCUCAGUGAUGCAGUUUACGCAUUAAGCACUCCGCCUGGGGAGUACGACCGCAAGGUUGAAACUCAAAGGAAUUGACGGGGGCCCGCACAAGCGGUGGAGCAUGUGGUUUAAUUCGAAGCAACGCGAAGAACCUUACCAGGUCUUGACAUCCUUUGACCACCUAAGAGAUUAGGUUUUCCUUUCGGGGACAAAGAGACAGGUGGUGCAGGCUGUCGUCAGCUCGUGUCGU
This 1074-nucleotide ribosomal RNA is filed under the name Lactobacillus sp. F52. RNAcentral's name for it is "bacterial SSU rRNA". It matches the Rfam family "Bacterial small subunit ribosomal RNA", at positions 42 to 1068 of the family's 1533-position model. The record is from RNAcentral. Lineage: Bacteria; Bacillati; Bacillota; Bacilli; Lactobacillales; Lactobacillaceae.